GAUGAAGAACGCGGCGAAAUGCGAUAAGUAAUGUGAAUUGCAGAAUUCAGUGAAUCAUCGAAUCUUUGAACGCACAUUGCGCCCUCUGGUAUUCCGGGGGGCAUGCCUGUUCGAGCGUCAUUACAACCCUCAAGCUUUGCUUGGUAUUGGACAUUGCCAGUUUCUGGCAGGUCUUAAAAUCAGUGGCGGUGCCAUUUGGCUUCAAGCGUAGUAAUUCUUCUCGCUUUGGAGAUCCAAGUGGUUACUUGCCAAUAACCCCCAAUUUUUUCAGGUUGACCUCGGAUCAGGUAGGGAUACCCGCUGAACUUAAGCAUAUCAAUAAGCGGAGGA
Molecule: unclassified non-coding RNA, 330 nt
Filed under: soil metagenome
Description: partial contains 5.8S ribosomal RNA, internal transcribed spacer 2, and large subunit ribosomal RNA
Rfam family: 5.8S ribosomal RNA (bases 1-120)
Source: RNAcentral